GAUGAACGCUGGCGGUCUGCUUAACACAUGCAAGUCGAACGGAACCUUUCGGGGUUUAGUGGCGGACGGGUGAGUAACGCGUGAGGAUCUGCCUUCAGGUUGGGGACAACAGUUGGAAACGGCUGCUAAUACCCAAUGUGCCGAGAGGUAAAAGCUUUAGUGCCUGAAGAUGAGCUCGCGUCUGAUUAGCUAGUUGGUGGGGUAAGGGCCUACCAAGGCGACGAUCAGUAGCUGGUCUGAGAGGAUGAUCAGCCACACUGGGACUGAGACACGGCCCAGACUCCUACGGGAGGCAGCAGUGGGGAAUUUUCCGCAAUGGGCGCAAGCCUGACGGAGCAAGACCGCGUGAGGGAGGAAGGCUCUUGGGUUGUAAACCUCUUUUAUCAGGGAAGAACACAAUGACGGUACCUGAUGAAUCAGCAUCGGCUAACUCCGUGCCAGCAGCCGCGGUAAUACGGAGGAUGCAAGCGUUAUCCGGAUUUAUUGGGCGUAAAGCGUCCGCAGGUGGUUUAACAAGUCUGCUGUUAAAGGUCAGAGCUUAACUCUGUCACGGCGGUGGAAACUGUUAGACUUGAGUAUGGUAGGGGUAGCGGGAAUUCCCAGUGUAGCGGUGAAAUGCGUAGAUAUUGGGAAGAACACCAGCGGCGAAAGCGCGCUACUGGGCCAUUACUGACACUCAUGGACGAAAGCUAGGGGAGCGAAAGGGAUUAGAUACCCCUGUA
This 722-nucleotide ribosomal RNA is filed under the name uncultured bacterium. Its description in RNAcentral is "bacterial SSU rRNA". It matches the Rfam family "Bacterial small subunit ribosomal RNA", at positions 28 to 792 of the family's 1533-position model. The record is from RNAcentral.